Molecule: transfer RNA, 73 nt
Filed under: Candidatus Pacearchaeota archaeon
Lineage: Archaea; Nanobdellati
Description: tRNA-Thr
Rfam family: tRNA
About the family: Transfer RNA (tRNA) molecules are approximately 80 nucleotides in length.
Source: RNAcentral
GCCUCCGUAGCUCAGCUGGAAGAGCGCGUUCUUGGUAAGGACGAGGUCCCGGGUUCGAAUCCCGGCGGAGGCU